AAAACAUUGAGAGUUUACACUGAAAAUUUGGAGAAGAAAAAUUAAAAAGAAACUUAAAAUAGAUGUAGACCACACACAAUGCACCCGGUUGCAAAAUCCAGUGCCAGAGAACCCCCGACUCAGCUCAGCCUGUCCACCCGUGAUUUUGGAAGACGCUCUCUGUAGCUCAGUCGUGAAUCUGGAGUGCACUCUGAAAUCUUCAACACAAUUGCCUCGGCCCACGUGAGGCAGAUGGUAGAGCCUUGCCUCAGUUGAAGAGACAAAGAUACUAACCAUGCUGAACCGCGCAUCUACUAAAAUAUGCUGAAGACUGAAAAAGAAAAAAUGUAAAUGAGCCCCUAGAAGAAAUCCUUUCAGUUCUUUUUUCAUCAGAAUGGUACCUUUCCACGGCUAAAGACACUCAAGACCUGCGUGCUCCUGUGUUCAGCCUCCCAGAUUUCCUGGGACAUCACGCAAAUUGUCUCUUCAAUCGCCUUUCACGCGUGUGUUAACCACGUCUUCACCGGGUUGCUGGCCCACUCUUUCUGUAGGACACCCUCUUGCAUAGCACACUCCUCCUAUAAAACGUGGACUUCUAUAAUAAUGUGGACUUCUCCUAUAAAACGUGGACUUCUAUAAUAACGAGGACUUCUCCUAUAAAACGUGGACUUCUAUAAUAACAUGGACUUCUCCCAUGUUUGUGUCAGUGAUUUCCUUUCCCUCUUAUCUCAAGCCUUCUUCUUUUUCUAUCACAUUUUCUAUCACAUUCUAUCUCAAUCUCCUUUUUCUAUCACAUUUCCUACAUUCGUGCCUGUGAGUUUAUGCAGCUAUUGAUGUUGUCAUACAGUCCAUAACAAUAAAUACAAAAUCCAUA
This 853-nucleotide long non-coding RNA is filed under the name Equus caballus (horse). RNAcentral describes it as "lncRNA (ENSECAG00000050335.1)". Lineage: Eukaryota; Metazoa; Chordata; Mammalia; Perissodactyla; Equidae. The record is from RNAcentral.